CAGCCGCCGCGGUAACACGUCGCUCCGCGAGUGGUACCCGCGAAUAUUGGGCCUAAAGCGUCCGUAGCCGGUCCGGUAAGUCCUCGGUUAAAUCGGCGGGCUUAACCCGUCGGCUGCCGGGGAUACUGCCGGGCUCGGGACCGGGAGAGGCCGAGGGGAUUCCCGGGGUAGGGGUAAAAUCCUGUAAUCCCGGGAGGACCACCUGUGGCGAAGGCGCUCGGCCAGAACGGGUCCGACGGUGAGGGACGAAAGCUGGGGGAUCAAACCGGAUUAGAGACCCGGGUAGUCCUGGCUGUAAACGAUGCGGACUAGGUGUCGGGCAAGCUAAGGGCUUGUCCGGUGCCGCAGGGAAGCCGUUAAGUCCGCCGCCUGGGGAGUACGGCCGCAAGGCUGAAACUUAAAGGAAUUGGCGGG
This 414-nucleotide ribosomal RNA is filed under the name uncultured microorganism. RNAcentral describes it as "bacterial SSU rRNA". It matches the Rfam family "Archaeal small subunit ribosomal RNA", at positions 459 to 872 of the family's 1478-position model. The record is from RNAcentral.